Halogranum amylolyticum is the source of this 165-nucleotide non-coding RNA. Lineage: Archaea; Methanobacteriati; Methanobacteriota; Halobacteria; Halobacteriales; Haloferacaceae. The record is from Rfam.
AAAUAACUCAGAAUCCUCCUACGGAAGAUAUGAGUAACGGUCGUUUGGCACGGCCAGUAACCUACCUGUUCAACCAAACUUCUGGGUCGUUCCACCCGAGGGAACAGGUGGGUUGCGAACUUUAAUAUCCCAAAGUUCGGGAAUCCUCGCCCUUGAGGGCGGGGU